CACACGACUCUCGGCAACGGAUAUCUCGGCUCUCGCAUCGAUGAAGAACGUAGCGAAAUGCGAUACCUGGUGUGAAUUGCAGAAUCCCGCGAACCAUCGAGUCUUUGAGCGCAAGUUGCGCCCGAGGCCACUCGGCCGAGGGCACGCCUGCCUGGGCGUCACGC
RNAcentral lists this ribosomal RNA (164 nucleotides) under Pseudoroegneria tauri. RNAcentral describes it as "Elymus tauri 5.8S ribosomal RNA". It matches the Rfam family "5.8S ribosomal RNA". From Rfam's summary of the family: 5.8S ribosomal RNA (5.8S rRNA) is a component of the large subunit of the eukaryotic ribosome. Lineage: Eukaryota; Viridiplantae; Streptophyta; Magnoliopsida; Poales; Poaceae. The record is from RNAcentral.